ACGGGUGAGUAAUAUAUCGGAACGUGCCCAGUCGUGGGGGAUAACUGCUCGAAAGAGCAGCUAAUACCGCAUACGACCUGAGGGUGAAAGCGGGGGAUCGCAAGACCUCGCGCGAUUGGAGCGGCCGAUAUCAGAUUAGGUAGUUGGUGGGGUAAAAGCCCACCAAGCCAACGAUCUGUAGCUGGUCUGAGAGGACGACCAGCCACACUGGGACUGAGACACGGCCCAGACUCCUACGGGAGGCAGCAGUGGGGAAUUUUGGACAAUGGACGCAAGUCUGAUCCAGCCAUGCCGCGUGCGGGAAGAAGGCCUUCGGGUUGUAAACCGCUUUUGUCAGGGAAGAAAAGGUUCUGGUUAAUACCUGGGACUCAUGACGGUACCUGAAGAAUAAGCACCGGCUAACUACGUGCCAGCAGCCGCGGUAAUACGUAGGGUGCAAGCGUUAAUCGGAAUUACUGGGCGUAAAGCGUGCGCAGGCGGUUAUGCAAGACAGAUGUGAAAUCCCCGGGCUCAACCUGGGAACUGCAUUUGUGACUGCAUAGCUAGAGUACGGUAGAGGGGGAUGGAAUUCCGCGUGUAGCAGUGAAAUG
This 590-nucleotide ribosomal RNA is filed under the name Comamonadaceae bacterium BvORR001. Its description in RNAcentral is "bacterial SSU rRNA". It matches the Rfam family "Bacterial small subunit ribosomal RNA", at positions 102 to 688 of the family's 1533-position model. The record is from RNAcentral. Lineage: Bacteria; Pseudomonadati; Pseudomonadota; Betaproteobacteria; Burkholderiales; Comamonadaceae.